ACUUUCAACCGCACAUUGUCUUGAUUAUUCAAAACAUUUGGGGACUCAAAAUGGAAAAGAUACGUUUCACGAGCAGAAUAGAAAGCUGAUGCCGGUUAACGGUUGGAUACAUCUGCUCUCAUUCAGGCCUGUGGCACUCGCAAAUGAACGGCGUGUGUUUUCAGCGUCCAAAUAGCAGCUCUGCAAAUCAUCUGCCGUGUUUCAGACUUCGAGCUCGAGCGCGCCCACCGAGACGAGAUGUUCAUUCCCCAAUGCCGACUGCUUUCCACGGGACUUGCGAGGUGAGAGAGGGAUUUCCGGUUCGGUCACCAGAUGGAGUCCAAGAGGAAGGUCAUGAAAAGCCCGGGCGUGGACGGAAAGGCGCCAGGACCAACCUGGGAGGAGCUGCGUUUGGACGUGCAGCCAAUCACACGGCUGCAACGGGAUUCUCUAAUCUGAAAUAUUAAACUAUUCAUAGCGUAUUUAUCACACGUAUUUGCUUCUGUUAGAUAGUUCAUUGUUUUUGG
Molecule: long non-coding RNA, 506 nt
Organism: Gasterosteus aculeatus aculeatus (three-spined stickleback)
Lineage: Eukaryota; Metazoa; Chordata; Actinopteri; Perciformes; Gasterosteidae
Source: Ensembl